CAGGGAGAGGAACCACCCUCGGCAGUAGUCGUGACACAAGUAAUAUACUCGGAAGUGGUGGAGGGUGUGCAUGCUUCUUGAGUCAGACUAGAAGUCCACUCCGAAAACUUCUUUUCCACCCGGCAGUGAUUUGGAGCAACCUCUGGAAUAAGUUAAAUAGCCCUGGGGGGUACGAACAAAGAAUCCAAUUUGGGAAAGUCGUAUUCCUUGUUGUAAUGCUGGGUGUGAAGCCAGGCCCAGGAAGCAAGAUGUUAAUCUUAUCAGCUAAACCGAAACAGAGGACCAUGGCUGAAGAAAUUAGGGGAACUGCCUGACCUGUCUGUCCUGUACAAGGACUUUCACAUUGAAACGGCACCAUUGAUCACCA
RNAcentral lists this long non-coding RNA (367 nucleotides) under Salmo salar (Atlantic salmon). Its description in RNAcentral is "lncRNA (ENSSSAG00000095226.1)". The record is from RNAcentral. Lineage: Eukaryota; Metazoa; Chordata; Actinopteri; Salmoniformes; Salmonidae.